GGAGUUGUGGCUCAGUGGUAGAGCACUUGCCUAGCAUGCAUGAGGCACUGGGUUUAAUCCCCAGCACCA
Molecule: transfer RNA, 69 nt
Filed under: Marmota marmota marmota (Alpine marmot)
Lineage: Eukaryota; Metazoa; Chordata; Mammalia; Rodentia; Sciuridae
Also listed under: 1 other name
Rfam family: tRNA
About the family: Transfer RNA (tRNA) molecules are approximately 80 nucleotides in length.
Source: Rfam by way of RNAcentral